AUGUACCACGACUGCACGGAUAUGACGUGCCUGCUCAUCAAUACUAAACAGGCUCUGCUCAUGCCUGUGUCCUUUCUAACACUCAUAGCUCCUAUUGCGCUGACGCCCAUAAGAUGCAUGCGCAGGAGGGCACUGUCGGAUAAUACAUCAGUAACUUCUGUCGCUGCUAACAUUCCUGUGAUGUACCAGUCUGUCCCAGAAGUGUGUCUGAAAGAGGCUAUUACAUGUGAAGUGUCACCGCUAGGUUAUCAUUUGGCUUUGUCUGUGAAAGAGAAAAUUUGGAAGGGUGAAUUUGUUGAUUUGUUUUCUUUGCUUCCAUCUUUCAAGGAGUCUGCUAAGGAUAAAGUGGAGAAGGAGGAGGAUAAAAGGAAGGUGGCAGCAAUGAAGACAUUCAAUAAUUGGUUACAGGCAUUUUGUAUUUUUUUCUGCAGUUAUGGGCUAUCUCCUUUGGGCCUUGUUCCAAAGAAGGAGCCCAACUCUUUUAGAUUAAUUCAUCAUCUAUCAUAUCCUCUUCGUGGUUCCCUGAAUGAUUCUGUUGACCCUGGAGAGUGUUCAGUUGAAUACGCUUCUUUUGAUUCUGCCUUAGUUUUGUUGCGGCAGUUUGGUCGUGGUACUUUGCUCGCCAAGGUCAAGCAAGUUUUAAAGGGUUUUAAAUUGGCUAAGUAUAGUAAGGAUGUUCGUCGCCCCUUUAACUAUUGUCUUUUGGAGCAGCUUUGCUCAGCUUGUUUUCAGAGCAGCUUCUCGAGUUUAUACUUUGAAUCUGGGUUUUCAAGAAGAGAACUUCAACAUCUUCUGGUGCGGAUUGAGAUACUUAUCCCACAUGUCUUCCCACUGACUGCAGUCGGACUGACAACAGAUGGCACUCACACUAUUGCAUGUCUGGUAAAUCGUUACUUCCCUCAACCUGCGUCUGUCACAUGGAGCACAACUAGUGGGGAGAACGUAUCUAAAGUUAAAGACAUCACUACCCCACUAACUGGAGAUCCCCCAGCAUAUAAUCUUCUUAGUCAAGUUACAGUCAGUGAUAAUGACUGGAAGAGUAAGACUUACCAGUGCAAUGUCAGCCAUUAUUCCACCAGCAUUAGCAAAACUAUUAUUGAAGUUUGUAACGUUUCACCAGAGGCACCAAGCGUCCACCUUAUGCAAGGAACCUGCCCUGAAAGCAGCAAUGGUGAAGUCGAGCUCACUUGCCAAGUGUAUAAUUUAACCUCCCAGGACGCCACAGUGAAAUGGUUUGUCAAUGAAAAUGAAAGGAGUUUCCCAAAAGACGAACUGGAACUAGGAAAAUCCCAGAAGCACUUUUUUAGUUUGCAUAGCACAGUAACCAUUAAUCAGUCUGAGUGGAACAACGGUGUUCGUGUGAAGUGUCAUGUGACAGAUCCUAAAACGGGGAAAACGGCAGAGGACACAAUUAAGAAGUGCUCAGACAACUUCAACUGUUUGGGAAUUAAUGUGUUUAUGGUGGAGCCGUCUAUUGAAGAUCUCUAUGUCCAUAAUACUGCUCGGAUUGCAUGUGUGGCUACCAACCUUAAAGAUACAAGUGAAAGCUAUUCAUUUAAGUGGAGUUAUCCUGGAGUAUCUACCCCUACUUUUCAAACCGAAGACCUAGAGCUGCAAGAGAAUGGAACUUACAGUGUGCCCAGUGUCCUCACGGUUUCCCCAAAUGUUUGGCUGCAGCAGACAGAAUUUACCUGUGUAUUUUACCACAGUGGACUCACAGCACCAAUCAUUACUACAAUUAAAAAGGAGAAAGAAACCAAGAUGUCCCGACCUGUGGUUUUGGUUUAUCCACCAUCUGAAGAGGAAUUAGCCCAAAAGGAAGACUACACUUUGCUAUGCAUCUGCCACAACUAUAAGCCCAGAAAAAUUUAUGUUGGUUGGACAGAAAAUGAUAUGGUAGUAUCCCAAGAUCAAUACGUCAACAGUGAACCAAAGCUUGAAGCCAACGGGAACACAUACAUCACUAUUAGCAAACUUACCAUUUCAGCUAGUGCUUGGGAAUCAGGAAAUAUAUACAGCUGUGUGGUGGGCCAUGAAGCCAAUCCAAUGAAUAUUUUUAGAAGACCUGUGGACAAAUCCUCUGGUAAACCAACAAUAGUCAAUGUGUCUGUCACUAUGUCUGGAACCGACCUGUCUUGUUCUUAAUAUGUCACUUAUAGCAUCCUCCACUUUCCUUCUACCAUACAUUCCUGAAAAAUCGAAUACAGAAGAACUAAAACCCUCCUGUCUUUCUGUAUAAAUUAAUGGAUGUUUUCCCCUUUGUCUUUCUUACUUGUGUUAAUUGUAUAUCCUGUAAAAACCCCUUUGUAUUUGUGUUUUAUGGUGAAAGUGGUGGAUAUUUUGUAAAAUAAUUGAUGUUGCAAUAAAUUCUAUAA
Hyla sarda is the source of this 2375-nucleotide non-coding RNA. The record is from the annotation of a RefSeq genome assembly. NCBI's taxonomy places the organism in Eukaryota, Metazoa, Chordata, Amphibia, Anura, Hylidae.